RNAcentral lists this ribosomal RNA (468 nucleotides) under uncultured bacterium. RNAcentral's name for it is "partial 16S ribosomal RNA". It matches the Rfam family "Bacterial small subunit ribosomal RNA", at positions 28 to 507 of the family's 1533-position model. The record is from RNAcentral.
GAUGAACGCUGGCGGCGUGCUUAACACAUGCAAGUCGAACGGAAAGGCCCUGCGUUUGUGGGGUGCUCGAGUGGCGAACGCGUGAGUAACACGUGAGUAUCCUGCCCUUGACUUUCGGAUAACUUCAGGAAACUGGGGCUAAUACCGGAUAGGAUCUCCUGCUGCAUGGUGGGGGUUGGAAAGUUUCGGCGGUUGGGGAUGGACUCGCGGCUUAUCAGCUUGUUGGUGGGGUAGUUGCUUACCAAGGCUUUGACGGGUAGGCGGCCUGAGAGGGUGAACGGCCACCAUGGGACUGAGAUACGGCGCAGACUCCUACGGGAGGCAGCAGUCGGGAAUAUUGCACAGUGGGCGGAAGUCUGAUGCAGAAACGCCCGGUGCGGGAAGACGGCCUUUGGGGUGUAAACCGCUUUCGCCUGAGACGAAGCGUGAGUGACGGUAAUGGGUAAAGAAGCACCGGCUAACUACGUG